Molecule: long non-coding RNA, 1336 nt
Filed under: Equus caballus (horse)
Lineage: Eukaryota; Metazoa; Chordata; Mammalia; Perissodactyla; Equidae
Description: lncRNA (ENSECAG00000045324.1)
Source: RNAcentral
UGGGGCUGCAGCCUUCUGAGGGCUUGAUGUGUUCCGGAGCAGGAUAGCCGGACCCCGAGAAGGAGCGUCCCAGAGGGAAGAAGCGGAAGCCGCCAGUCUUCUUUGAGCUCUCAUCAUGACAUCAACCAGCUUGCAACAUACUGAGAAAUUAACAACUGGUUCUCAGAGCUGGCACCGGCAGGUUCCGGGACCACUAGGGGAGCUCUACCCCCACCCUCCUACUCCACAGAGCAGGGUGGAGCGAGAAUCCAGGCAGUUUACAGCAAUGAAAACACUGCAACAAGGUUUCCCCAUCUCACCUCUACUUCCACGUCCACGCCCUCCAGGCCCCAUCCUAUCUGGACUCUUGGUGGAAACGCUUCUGGUCUCCCAGGCUCCCAGGCAAGCCGAGCUCGAGAGGGGCAGUGCAUCAGCGGCAGUCAGAAGCGGCCACGCUCUCGGGCUGCACUCUAAGACUGGGGCUCAGCAUCCCCCUCAGCUCCCGCUUGCGCCUCUCUGCUACACUGGUGGCCUCUCCCUGGGAGGGGGUCCUGGAGGCAGGUCCUGCUUCUGAUUCCUCUCUGUCCCCCAGAUCCCAGUGCAGACCUGGCACAUAGGAGACCUCAGCUGGGCUGGAGCUACCAAUCACAUCCACAGAAUGAACACUGAGUAAAAAACUGGUAAAGCGCCUUGCUCCAUGUGUCAAGAUUAGCCUCUUCACACUUUGUUCCCGGUGCCUCUUCCAAAAGCUCUGUGCAGUCCCUCAUUCAUUCAUUUAUUCAAGCAGUCAUUAUCACUGGGCAUCAUGCAUUCAAGCAGAAGCUUGCUGAAGCCCAUUUUGGGCCACUCAGGGCUGGGGACCCGGAAAUCAAGCACGCCUGCUUCCUGGCUUUGAGACGCUCUUAGGGAGCAAGGCAUGCACAGUUCGGCAGGCUCUGGGGAGAACCUGGGCUAAGUGGCAGGGCACCACCCGUUCUGGAAGGUGGUAUCAGAGUCGGUGUUUCUGAGGAAGUGAGGCAGGGCUGGACCUGGAAGGAGAUGCAGGAGUUGGCCAGGUCAAGAAGGACAAGGCCGGUGAUUUAUGGCCGACAUUGUACAGAACCCCCAGUCACAGCAGCUCGGCUCCCUCUGGGGCAAGCCAGGCAUCUUGGGCAUCUGAAGGGGGGUGGGGGAAGGGGCAGGGAUAAGGCCAGGGAAGCUGGCGGGGAUGGAUCAGGGGCUCUGAGGGCCAGGCUGCAGAGUUGGGACCUCCUUUGAGGCGGCGGGGAGAUGCUGAAGGGAGGGAUGUGAGAGGGAUCUCCCCACUGAGAGACCAGCGGUGUUGGCCCUCACUCAGGCCCCUCUUGGCCUCCUUGGC